Molecule: ribosomal RNA, 253 nt
Filed under: uncultured bacterium
Lineage: Bacteria
Description: partial 16S ribosomal RNA
Rfam family: Bacterial small subunit ribosomal RNA
Source: RNAcentral
UACGUAGGUGGCAAGCGUUGUCCGGAAUUAUUGGGCGUAAAGCGCGCGCAGGCGGCCUCCUAAGUCCGAUGUGAAAGCCCACGGCUCAACCGUGGAGGGUCAUUGGAAACUGGGGGACUUGAGUGCAGGAGAGAAGAGUGGAAUUCCACGUGUAGCGGUGAGAUGCGUAGAGAUGUGGAGGAACACCAGUGGCGAAGGCGACUCUUUGGCCUGUAACUGACGCUGAGGCGCGAAAGCGUGGGGAGCAAACAGG